CAGCCCAAUAAAACAAUAACAACAACUCCAGUUGGCCCAGCAGCUCCUAAAUUAACAACACCACACAAGAGCAGGCCCAACAACAAACAAUCAGUCCAAAACUAACCCACCUACCCGGCCAACUACCCUUCUCCCUUCCCCUAAACCAACGUACAACAGCAACAGCAAAAACAAACACAACAACAAACUUUCCACCUCCAGCGUACAAACAACAUCGGCCAACGACUUCAACAUCAACAGUCCGGCAAACCAACGAUUUCAACCAACAGCAGCAUCAUCGGCACAACAACACCAGCAAUACAAUGCACAACGUACAAGCAACCAUAGCAACAACAGAAACCCAAUUCCAGCUUCAACCGAUCGACCCGCGAACAACUUCAUUCAAUCCAACGACCAAACAACGAUCCAAAAAUUACGGAAAUCUCUCUCUUUUCAUCUUAUCUCUGCAAUUUUGGAGGCCUAGAGCCAUCAUUGUUGACUUUGGCUUAAGAUUGCGUGUCUUGUAACCUAGAAAUUCAAUCUAAAUCAGGUGUCAUAAAUGGAAAUCCGAAUUUAUGGGAUAUGUUUCUAUCCCUUUUCAAUUUUUUCAAACCCUAACCACUCACUGUCACAAAACAGACUUUCUUUUGAAUUGUUAGUGAAAUUUUUUCAACAUAAAGAGGAACUCGUGCUUCCAUUAAAAAGGGAUUCUUUGGGGAAAGAUUGGGGAUUCUGGAGGAGCAUUCCUCUAAUCCCACGUAAUCAAAGGAUUCAAUAAGAAACUCUUUCUAGAAAAUCAAUUUCGGAAAAAAAAUUGAAACUUCGGCAAGUCGAGAUCAAAACUUCGGUGGAAAAUAACGUAAAUUCCGGUGGAAUUCCGUUCAGUUAAAAGAGCUCAUCGUCCUGGUUCCUGCCCCAAAACGGACUCCCAUCUCUCACACUCCGUUCGGUUAAUGCCAGUAUCUCGAGUCAAGACUCAUCAAAGUCCAAAAAUAGACUGAUAUACAUGGGACAACACUGGUAUACAGAUCGGUAUACACCUGUAUUCAGUUGAUAUACAUUGGAAGCGGCAGCUGCACAUUAUUACACUGUACACAGUAAAAAAUGGAGGGAAAAUAAGCAGGUUUUCAGGCUGAUAUACACUGUAUAUGCAGUGAUAUACAGUAAAACGUGAAGAAAAUUGGGACUGAUAUACAUGUGGUAUAUACUCCAGGAAAACGGACCAAAGUCUAUAAAAUGGGGAGCCCAAAGCUGGGCAACUCACUGAUGGGCCAAAAGUGGCCCAACCCUAACCUAAAUCUUUUAUUCUCUUAUGAAUUAUCACUUAUAUAAUUGUCUAUUUGUAUUAGCACUAAUUUUACUUAAUUAGCCUAGUGAUUUCCCAGGUGUUGCCAUUUCA
This is a long non-coding RNA of Capsicum annuum, 1378 nucleotides long. RefSeq lists it as uncharacterized. The record is from RefSeq and is a predicted model, not a curated record. Lineage: Eukaryota; Viridiplantae; Streptophyta; Magnoliopsida; Solanales; Solanaceae. The transcript has 2 exons.